GAUAAACGCUGGCGGCGUGCCUAAUACAUGCAAGUCGAGCGAACAGACGAGGAGCUUGCUCCUCUGACGUUAGCGGCGGACGGGUGAGUAACACGUGGAUAACCUACCUAUAAGACUGGGAUAACUUCGGGAAACCGGAGCUAAUACCGGAUAAUAUAUUGAACCGCAUGGUUCAAUAGUGAAAGACGGUUUUGCUGUCACUUAUAGAUGGAUCCGCGCCGCAUUAGCUAGUUGGUAAGGUAACGGCUUACCAAGGCAACGAUGCGUAGCCGACCUGAGAGGGUGAUCGGCCACACUGGAACUGAGACACGGUCCAGACUCCUACGGGAGGCAGCAGUAGGGAAUCUUCCGCAAUGGGCGAAAGCCUGACGGAGCAACGCCGCGUGAGUGAUGAAGGUCUUCGGAUCGUAAAACUCUGUUAUUAGGGAAGAACAAAUGUGUAAGUAACUAUGCACGUCUUGAUGGUACCUAAUCAGAAAGCCACGGCUAACUACGUG
This 497-nucleotide ribosomal RNA is filed under the name uncultured bacterium. Its description in RNAcentral is "partial 16S ribosomal RNA". It matches the Rfam family "Bacterial small subunit ribosomal RNA", at positions 28 to 507 of the family's 1533-position model. The record is from RNAcentral.